GGAGAGGUGGCUGAGUGGCCGAAAGCAACGGUUUGCUAAACCGUCGUACGGGUAACCGUACCGGGGGUUCGAAUCCCCCCCUCUCCGCCA
This 90-nucleotide transfer RNA is filed under the name Lentisphaerota bacterium. Its description in RNAcentral is "Lentisphaerae bacterium (feces metagenome) tRNA-Ser". It matches the Rfam family "tRNA". Rfam says of the family: Transfer RNA (tRNA) molecules are approximately 80 nucleotides in length. Their secondary structure includes four short double-helical elements and three loops (D, anti-codon, and T loops). Lineage: Bacteria; Pseudomonadati; Lentisphaerota. The record is from RNAcentral.